UACGGGGGGGGCAAGCGUUGUUCGGAAUUACUGGGCGUAAAGGGCUCGUAGGUGGCCAACUAAGUCAGACGUGAAAUCCCUCAGCUUAACUGGGGAACUGCGUCUGAUACUGGAUGGCUUGAGAUUGGGAGAGGGAUGCGGAAUUCCAGGUGUAGCGGUGAAAUGCGCAGAUAUCAGGAAGAAUAUCCGUGGCGAAGGCGGCUCUCUGGUACGGCACUGACGCUGAGACGCGAAAGCGUGGGGAGCGAACAGG
Molecule: ribosomal RNA, 253 nt
Filed under: uncultured bacterium
Lineage: Bacteria
Description: partial 16S ribosomal RNA
Rfam family: Bacterial small subunit ribosomal RNA
Source: RNAcentral